Molecule: long non-coding RNA, 1066 nt
Filed under: Pongo abelii (Sumatran orangutan)
Lineage: Eukaryota; Metazoa; Chordata; Mammalia; Primates; Hominidae
Description: lincRNA
Source: RNAcentral
ACGUUUACAGGGUGGAGGUGGAAAUUAAAUUUAGGGGGCCAUGAGGAAGACCCCCAGCCCUGUGCCUUUUGAAUUGACAACCAUGGCAUUUCAGGGCAUCAGCUCCAGGUCAGGCAUUCUCAGGCAGUUGCAUAAUUCUGCCAAUGUGGGGCCCGCCCACCUCAAAAAUCCACAUGGAUUGGAUCCAGCAAAAUCAAAUAUUCAGCAAAACUUUAAGAUCUAGCAAGACUGAAGGCUCAAGUACAUCACCGGUGCAUACUUGGCCCAAGGAGGCUAUUCUCUCACAAUCUCUACCCAUCUCGGGGCCUGCAGCAUCUGAGACUCACUGCUUCCUGCAGGUAUCCCAGGAAAAAGAUUUAUGCAUCCUCAUAGCUUCAACAUGCAGUGUUUCAGGCACAGAAAAACGGUUGUCUUCAGAAAGAGAUGAAAAAACAUGCAGUAGCAAUCACCCUUUGGACUUUGAAACUUUUCUGUCACCUUAGAUGUCAGAAACUAAAACCCAGAAACUUGGUGUUGGCAUUAAUUUGGUCUAGCUAUGAAGACUUUUUUUUUUUUCCACACAGUGACCGUUCUGAAUUUGAAUAUAAAGGAGCUUAGUUGCUACAAUCUGAAUGGAACGUGGGAAUAAAACUGUCUUUGCCUUGUACUUCUUGUUAGAUUAAUUAAAUACCAAUUAUCAGUAUAAGAAAAUGGCAAUAAAAUUGUCAAAGUGGAAUUGGAAAGUGUUUUUGUGAUUUGGAUAUGAAGCAGGCUUCCCAUGUGACCAUUCUCACUUCCUAUUCUGAAGUCUAACAGUCUGCUUUUCUUUCUCUCCCUCUCUUCAUUGAUUCUUCUAGUGGCUGGUUUUUGGGUAUUGUGGGACUGAACUUUCAUCUCCUAUGUUAGCCAUACAGAUGAGGGCUUUGAGGGCACCAUGGAAUCCGAUUGUUGGAAAUGGCUCAUAAAUCACAGGCACUUAAGCCCAACAGAGCUUAAAGGAAAGGAAAAUUUAAAAAUCAGGUGCAACAAAAGCAAAAUGAGAAAACUCCUAAACUCUACAAUUCUAUAAAGAAGAAUUGCAUAAAAA